This is a long non-coding RNA of Mustela lutreola (European mink), 3056 nucleotides long. RefSeq lists it as uncharacterized. Lineage: Eukaryota; Metazoa; Chordata; Mammalia; Carnivora; Mustelidae. The record is from RefSeq and is a predicted model, not a curated record. The transcript has 4 exons.
GUCCCGCAAACGUGCGGACUUUGCCUGCUUUCGCACGAAGGCAGAGCAGCUGUGACACGGAUUCGUGGGGCCUAGGAGCUGAGCUGAGCUCCCACCUGACCCUGGGUCCCGGCCCUUGCGGCUGUGGGGCAGUGCGCGUGCACAGAGGCUGCGUUUGUACAGGCGCGCGCUCGUGUAAGGACGCGUGUGAAACCACCGUUGGGACCGCGUGUGCAGGCUCCGUUCUUCUCCCCACCCUCAGACCGUCCUCUGACCCCGGCGGGCUCCUCCGCUCAGCCUGAUUCCGACCCAGGGGCCGGGACGACUCUGACGCCCGCGGUUAGGAGCCCAGUGCCCGGGCCCGCGCCCACCCCGACCUGACAACAGCACCCAGUGCACCCGUCGGAGGUUCCCGUGACCCGCCUCUCCGGGUUCGACCAACACGCGAAGAGCGGUGCACGCGGUUCGGAUAAACGUCCACUCACUAGGUCGCCAGCCGUCCUAAAACGGCCGGACGGAGUCCGCGGGACUGGGCUCCCGGCUUCGGCCGUGGCGGAGCCUCCGCGUGUUCGCCAGCCUGGAGGGCCCGGACAGAGGCUUCCUUACGAAUUCCAACGGUUUGGGGAGCUCAGCGCCAGGAAGGGGCAAAGGACAAGGACCUACUUCUUACUGCAAAGCGCGGUAUUGCAGCCUGUUUGGUGCAAAUCCAGGGUUUGUGGUUGCGCUGGCCUGACCGGAUGAAUGAACGAGUUCCCGGGGCUAGAUACUAAGAGGGAAUGUGUGAGGGACUAAUUCUUGGAUUUCCGAUUGUGUGACAAAGCAGUGGUGAUAUGAAAAUAGCAGUUACCAGAGAUGAUUAUUAGGACUUUUACUACCACCCCUGCUGCUAGCACCUAACACAUCACAGUCCCUGGUCAAAAGUGUCUUUUCCACCUAAGGUGCAUAAAUGGAGGCACAAGGAGAUUAGGAAAGUACUCACCCAAAGGAGCAGGGCUAGCAAAGGUCAGAGCUGAUUUCCGAAUCCAGGCCCUGGGGACUUCAAAACCCCUGUCCUGUUCACCCCUUCAGGGGUUUUUCCUUGGAGGAAGCUGCUUCUUGAACAGGAAGAUUCUUCUGCACACCUGGUGGUGCUGGAACAAAGGGGAUGGCCAAGAAAAUCAAGAAAACCUGCAAUCUGGCAGUUCUGUGUUUUCCUUAGAUCACCUCCCAAGAAACUAUAGAAGAAAGCGUUCUGGAGGAUUGAAAGGAAAGAAAGGAUGUCUCUUUCUCUGAUAGAAGAGAGUCCUACAGAUAUGCCGUCACAUGUAGCAUCUGCUUCUUGUCUGAGAGGACUUGCUGCCCUCUAGCCCAAGAGAAGGCCCGUAUAGUCUCUCAUGCCAGCUCUUCCCAGGCACAGACUCACGGAGCCUUUGAGGCAAGGAUAACAGCUGCCUAUUUUGAGACGUUUUGUUGUGUGAUAAAAACAAACUCACUAGGGGCAUCUGGGUGGCUCAGUUAAAGCCUCUGCCUUUGGCUCAGGCAAGGUCCUGGAAUCAGCCCCGCACUAGGUUCUCUGCUCAGCGGGGAGCCUGCUUCCUCCUCACUCUCUGCCUGCCUCUCUGCCUACUUGUGAUCUCUGUCAAAUACAUAAAUAAAAUCGUCAAAAAAAAAAACCACAAAAAACUCACUCGUUUUAGAGUAUCAGUCAGGUGUCCACCACGUGUCGCCAUUGAAAUCUGCAGUCACACACUUGGUUUCUUUACACCUGUCCUGGGCAGAUCAGCAGGAGAAAUUACUGCUUGCCCAAAACAUUCUUAAGCAAACACAUCUGGGCCACUGCGCUAAUGAGUACCAUAGCGUUCACUAUUUCCACGUUCCAUCCUCCCACAGCCCCCCCGUCACACAGUCAUGUGUGUCAAAACUGUUGUCUCUCCUCUACUUUACGACGACUGUCGUUUUCCUCUAAUCUCCUCAGUGUAUAGUGCCACCGUGCAGGUGGGGCAAAUGGCAGAGUCGGCUUUAAAUCCGAACACGUCAGCACCUAUACUGCACGUACAGUGAGUGAGUGUUUCAGCCAGAAGGCAGACACCAACAACCUGGGCACACCAAAAAAUCCCAUGCUGUUCGAAGAAAACAACUCAUAUUUAAGGAUAUUUAAGGGCACAAACAAGUUAAUCAUUUUUUAAAAAGUGGGGAAAAUUGAUACUAUGUUACUUAAUCUGCAAAGACUGGGCUGCUGGAACUAAACUAGAUACCUCAUGAACUGCAGGAAUUUAUUUCUCAUGGUCUGGAGCCAGACAGGAGGCUGUCGGUGUUUCUGACCGGCAGACACAGGCACACUCUUGGAAAUCAUUGCAUUUUGUUGAAUGUCCUAUAUAAAAGGUGCUCUUACCUACACCUUUCUGCCAGCCUAGUAUAUUCUGUAUGAUUGUGCAACUAGGCAGACAGACAGAACUUCCUGUCCUCUGAUGACCGACCGAUGACUGAGGAUCAGGCUCCUCUGUUUCCCACAGACCUAUAUUUUACUUCUCCGAUCACUACUGGAAAUUUACACGGUUGAUUGUGACAUCAUAUGCAUGUGUGUUUGUGAGUGUUAUAAUAUAAAACUGUAUACAGCUAAAUAAAGCUUGAACAAUGAACACAUUUAUAUAUAAAAUGUAUAUAUAAAGAAAACAUGUUUAUGUAUAAAAUUUAUAUGCAAAACCUGUAUUUAUGUAAAAUAUAUUUUAAAAACUAUAAACAUAAACUACAUAAACAUUAAAACUCUAAAUAAAUAGGGGCUCCUGGCUGGCUCAGUCCAUGCAGCAUGCGACUCUUGACUUUGGGGUUGUGAGUUUGAGCCCCAUGUUGGGUACAGAGAUCACUUAAAAAAAAUCUUGGGGUGCCUGGGUAGCUCAGUGGGUUAAAGCCUCUGAUUUUGGCUUGGGUCAUGAUCCCAAGGUCCUGGGAUUGAGCCGCACAUUGGGCUCUCUGCUCAGCAGGGAGCCUGCUUCCUCCUCUCUCUAGGCCUGCCUCUGCCUACUUGUGAUCUCUGUCUGUCAAAUAAAUAAAUAAAAUCUUUUAAAAAAAUAAAAAUUUAAAAAAAAAGAAAAAAUAAU